RNAcentral lists this transfer RNA (72 nucleotides) under Camelus bactrianus (Bactrian camel). It matches the Rfam family "tRNA". Rfam says of the family: Transfer RNA (tRNA) molecules are approximately 80 nucleotides in length. Their secondary structure includes four short double-helical elements and three loops (D, anti-codon, and T loops). The record is from Rfam by way of RNAcentral. Lineage: Eukaryota; Metazoa; Chordata; Mammalia; Artiodactyla; Camelidae. RNAcentral also lists the same sequence under 2 other names.
GAAGGUAUAGCUCAGUGGUAAAGCAUGUGCUUACCAUGCACAGGGUCCAGAGUCCAAUCCCCAGUACUGCCA